GAGAGUCUCGAUUCGAUUUGAAAUGAAUCGGAUGUCAAACGAGCGAUGUAACAUACCGAACUUAUAAAAUUAUGAAGUUACGGUGUACGUUUAAAUGGUUCCGGUGAGGUUGCGGUGGAAUGUAACAUACCGGAUUUUAAAUAUAAAAAUAAAAAUAAAUAAAAAUAGUAUGAGAUACUAUUUUAUUGGAUUUAGAGAAGUGAAAUAUCGGUUGGGAACGACCUGUGCUGAAAUCGGAGCGAAAACAGAAGAUUUAGAAUUUUCUGUUGGAAACGGGACUGAUAAAUUAGCAGAAAAUGCACAGUCUCAGAAAAUUAUGAAAAUUGGCGAGGAUGUCAGAAAUAUUUUAAUGAGGCUAGAUUUAAAGUUUCAUAUUUUUCUGACACCCGUAGAGUGAGAAAUAAAAUCCGAAAGCCAUCUGAUAAAGAUUGCAGUUCGGUAUAGUUUUCAGUGACCAAACGGGGUCGAAACUGAAAUAUUAAAAUUUCUUUGGACUUAUUAAGUAAAACCGAACAUGCCUGUCAAAUUUGAGCUCAAUCGGACAUUCAGAAGGGCUCCAACGAAAUUUAUCAGAUUUCAAGCUGCCCGUAAUGAAUAGUGUAUAGUUGAGGGCAAAAUGGUAAAAAGGGAUUAAAUCCCCUUUGCUUCUUCUUCCUCCCAGCCGAACACAUCACACGCACACAACACACACGCAUGGAAGGAGAAGAGAAAACCCUCUCUUUCUCUCUCUAAAUCUCUCCCAAAAGAGGUGAAAUUGGUGGAGAAGAAGCUUGGAGGGAUCAUCAACACCAUCAUCUUCUUCUUCUUCAUUUUGGAGCAAGCUCUUGGAGGUAAGCACCUUACCCAUUAAUGGUAGAUCCUUAAUGGUUGGGUUAAAUAGCUUAUAAAUGGAUUUAGAGGAAUCCUAGCAUGCUAUCUAGAUGAAUGAUGCUUAAAUCAUGAAUCAAUUUGGUGAUUUCUUGCAUAGUUGUAACCUAGGGCUCCAAAAUGCUAAUUUUCAAAAUAUGAGGGUUUGAUCUAAUUUGACUCUCCGUAAACCUAAUUGCUAGGUAACGAAACGCGUUGGCGAAGACGGUUCGGCAAUCCGACGAGUCGUUACAAAGUUAUUAAAGAAAUAGACGUUUAGGGUUCGGGUCCGCCGGGAGGGCCGAGGCGACGUCGUAAAAUCAUGGAAAUGGAUUUGAGGUAUCAUGGCACAUAACCGAAGACCUAUAAUUUUCGGGGCUGCGAAGCGGAGCACGGUUGAGGCGCAGUUGCAGUAUCGGGCCGUGCCGGAUACGGGUGCCGCGGGAGGCCGAUUGUAAGUGUCGACAAGCAAUCGGAACGCGAAUUAAGGUGGGUUGUGUUUACCGAAGCGACUAGGUCGCCUUUAUGUCUAAGAAACUAAGAAUCCAUGUUGAUGCAUAUAAAUGUAAAUAAAGCAUGUAAAUGAUGCAUAUAGCUAAAUAAUGCAUGUUGAUAGUAUGAUGUAAAUGCUAAAUAGAAUGCAUUAUGAGCAAGUUACAUAAUGCUAAAUAAUGUAAUGUAGAAAUGCUAGAAUGCAUUAUGAGCAAGUUACAUAAUGCUAAAUAAUGUAAUGUAGAAAUGCUAGAAUGCAUAAUGAGCAAGUUAUAUGAUGCAUGUUUAUAGUAUGAUGUAAAUGCUAAGUAGAUGCAUAUAAAUGAUAUAUGAGAUUAUAAACGCAUGAUUAGCAUUAUGAGAUCAUAGAUGCAUGCUUAGCAUUGUGAGAUUAUAUAUGCAUAUGAACUUGGUUGAUAACUCUAGCUUGAAUAGAGAGAUAACAUUGGAAAAUGAGAAUUGA
RNAcentral lists this long non-coding RNA (1801 nucleotides) under Ananas comosus (pineapple). Its description in RNAcentral is "long non-coding RNA (ACOM_LNC036310)". The record is from RNAcentral. Lineage: Eukaryota; Viridiplantae; Streptophyta; Magnoliopsida; Poales; Bromeliaceae.